GGAUGUCGUCGGUGUUUGUAGAGGUCCGAACUGUUUUUGAGAGGGUGUCUUAGGGUGUCGACAACAGGUCAACAGCAGUGGGUGCAUCGAUGGUGGGGGUGUCGACAAAAUCAAUCAGUGGAGGCUUGACGGUUGAGAAGGAGUCUGAAUUUUUUUGGGGUAAAUAAACUUAUCAACUUCAAUUUUGCCUACACACUGGGUGCAUCAUUAAGGAAGUCAGAUACAUACAAGUUUUCAAAAUCUUCUCAACUUCAAUUUUGCCUACACAGAUGAUCAGUGGCGGAACUAGCCCAAAAAUUUAGGGGUAUCCCAUUUUUUUAAUUUUUAGACCAGGGUAUCCUUUGUAUAACGGAGACGAAGUUGAGAGGUAUUUUUACACUACGAAAACGGAGUUAAGGUAUAUUUUUACACUACGGAGACGGGGUUGAGGGGUAGCCCGUGCCACCCCUUAUAAGCUUCUAAGUCCGCCCCUGCAGAUGAUUAUAUUAGUCUUUGCUCAUCAAAAUGUUUGGAAGGGAACCUUGAAGUUCCUAGGAGUUGGCCGGCAUCGAAGGAAAUUACCAGAUUUAGUUAUUUAAGCAACUGUGAAGAUGAACAAGAUUUUCGUGUUGCUGCCUGAAUUUUUUCGCCGGAGCAAGCUACUCGCCGAGAGAGAUGGCUGUGGUGGUGGUAGGUGUUACAAAUGAUGGAUGAUUUUUAUUAUAAUAUAUUUAUUUAAUGCGCAAAAUGACUAAAGUACCCUCAUGUGCCUUGUACAUGGCUGGAUUUAACUGAAAAUUAUAACCUGGUUAGGGCCAAAGGACGUAGAGUGUAAUGAGUUUUUCAAAUAAAGGACUGUGACUAUAAUUAUUG
RNAcentral lists this long non-coding RNA (852 nucleotides) under Helianthus annuus (common sunflower). Its description in RNAcentral is "hypothetical non coding rna". The record is from RNAcentral. Lineage: Eukaryota; Viridiplantae; Streptophyta; Magnoliopsida; Asterales; Asteraceae.